RNAcentral lists this ribosomal RNA (273 nucleotides) under uncultured bacterium. RNAcentral describes it as "partial 16S ribosomal RNA". It matches the Rfam family "Bacterial small subunit ribosomal RNA", at positions 28 to 317 of the family's 1533-position model. The record is from RNAcentral.
GACGAACGCUGGCGGCGUGCCUAACACAUGCAAGUCAAGGCGGUAGCAAUACCGACUGGCGCACGGGUGCGGAACACGUAGGUAAUCUGCCCUUCAGGGGAGAACAACUCAUCGAAAGGUGAGCUAAAUCUCCGUAAUGUUUUACUGUGGCAUCACAGUUUAACCAAACUUUCUGAGGGAGUGAGCCUGCGUCUGAUUAGCUAGUUGGUGAGGUAACUGCUCACCAAGGCUACGAUCAGUAGCUGGUCUGAGAGGAUGAUCAGCCACAUUGGG